RNAcentral lists this small RNA (28 nucleotides) under Bombyx mori (domestic silkworm). RNAcentral's name for it is "ovarian small RNA-18141". Lineage: Eukaryota; Metazoa; Arthropoda; Insecta; Lepidoptera; Bombycidae. The record is from RNAcentral.
UAAACCAAUUCAGCUGACGAAGACUGAA